GAUUGUCUAAAUAGUAUACACUCACAUUUAUUUGUGUUAACCUUUAAUUUCCAGGCGAAAUAAUAGUUAAAAACUUUUUCAAGGACUAUUUCUAAUUUCUUUUGAACUUCGGAUGGUUUUUUAUUAGCAUAGUAAACAAUCAGAUCGUCCGCAAAAGCCAGCAAUGUACAGUCUGUAUUAUUUGGGCCGUAGAGGUGUAAUACAUCUGAUGUGAAAAUAUUAAAUAAUAUUGGUGAGUUAAUUGUUCCUUGUUGAAGGCCAUUUAAAAGUUUGAAUUCUUGAUCUGAUUUUAUACCGUUGCUGAUUACUGCGAACGAUCUAUUUGUUAUCAUAUUCCAUACUAAUUUAAUUAUAUAAUCUGGUAUUUUUUUAUCUUUGAGUUUGAAGAUCAGCCCGUCUAGCCACACUGUAUCAAAAGCUUUUUCCAGGUCUACGAGGAUUGCUCCCACGCACUUUUUAUCAUUAAAGGCCCAGUUUACAUCUGAGACUAUUUUAUUGAUCGCAUGAGUUGUUGCAUGCUGCUCUUUGAAUCCAUAUUGACUUUCCGGGAUGAUCUUCCGCUCGAUACAUUGAUUUCUUGACUAGGUCAAAACUAUUGAAUCGCGGGUUUUUUUUUAAUCUGUGAAUUUUUGUAAGUAUUUCUUUGCUUUCUUUUCUAAGUUUCCUGAUUUCUUUAUUUAUGUAAAUAUCUGUCGAAUUUCUUUCUUUUAUCUUUGGGACUGCUAUAUCUAUUGCCUGUGUGAUUUGUUCCGAUAGAGUAUCUAAGUAUUUGUCAAUUUCUGUUAAUCUUAGGUUACGAUUAGAUGGUACAUUUUCUACCCAGAAUUUGCACAAUUCCUUCUGAUAUGUAUUCCAGUUUGCUUUAUCAAAAUUAUAAUUGUAUUUGCUUAUUUUUUCUUCUAAAAAGUAUUUGUGAUCAUCUAAGUUUAUUUCAAUUACUAGUGCUUCGUGAUCGCUAUCGAAUGUAGUAGAACGCAAUUCGCCUUGGAUAAGAUUGGUUAUUUUCAUUCUGGUGUCUGCCAAUACCAGAUCUAGACAAGAGUACUAGUUCUGGAUUAUGUUCGUCUAAUAGGAUUCUUAAUUCUUCUCUUUUAUAAUUGCUGAUAAGUGACUACAUGGUGGGCUAUUAUCCUGAUUCCUGUUAGGCUUCUCGGGUUACUCUCAGCUGUCAACUGCACCAUGAAUAUAGGCAGCACCUGGUUUCUUUUUUCUGCUGCUCUCGUUGUGAAUCUGCAAACCUUUAUGAUUGAU
Molecule: long non-coding RNA, 1251 nt
Organism: Odontomachus brunneus
Lineage: Eukaryota; Metazoa; Arthropoda; Insecta; Hymenoptera; Formicidae
Exons: 4
Source: RefSeq, a predicted model, not a curated record